CGCUGUCCUGCAAUGAGUUUUAAAAUCAUUACUUUUAUCAUAUUGGUGGGAACCGUGUGAGUUAGGGAUAGCUACUCACAACCACCAGAGACCUUGUUCUGUAUUUUUGGUUCUCUUAACAACUAAUCUCCUGUGUGGUUCUUGAAUUGUUUCAGAAAUCAAAACAAAAUGGGUAGUGCUAACCAAGUGUUGAACAUUUGUGCUCCAAUCACAAAUCAACAAGAAUCUGUAUCUGUUGAGCAGAUUGUGAAUAACAUGAAACUUGCAAAGGAAGAAGGUGCUGAUACAGUGGAGGUUAGGCUGGACUGCAUCACCAACUUCUACCCUCUCCUUCACCUCAAAAUCAUCCUUCAAAAUAAACCACUACCCGUGCUUAUUGCUAACAGGAAAAAAUGGGACGGUAGUUUAUCCAAAGGCGAUGAGAGCAUGCGACUGGAAGCAUUGCAGUUAGCUGUGGAAUUGGGGGCUGAUUUCAUAGAGGUUGAGUUGAAGGAAGCUUCUUGUAUUCCUGCCUUGGUGGAACAUAAGAGAAAUCAUAAUAGUCAUGGAAAAAUAAUUGUUUCUUGCUAUGUGGAUGGCAUCACCCCUCCGCAAGAAGAACUCCUUCAACUUGUUGCACGCAUGCAAGCAACUGGAUCAGAUAUCAUCAAACUUGUUACACAUGCAGCUGAUAUAACAGAAGUUACAAGAAUAUUUAGCUUGUUUCCUCAUUGUCAGAAUUUGCAGGUACCAUUGAUUGCUUAUUCUUAUGGAGAAAGAGGACUUAUAAGCCACCUUCUAAGUCCAAAAUUUGGUGGGUUCUUUGUCUAUGGAUCAUUGGCAGGAAAUCCAAUCCCAGGAAUGCCUUCUCUUGACAGUCUCAAGGAAGCCUAUAAAUUGGAGGGUGUCAAUGAAGAUACUAAAGUUUUUGGGCUCAUCUCAAAACCAGUUAGCCACAGCAAAGGCCCUAUAUUGCAUAAUCCUUCCUUCAGACAUGUAAACUACAAUGGAAUCUAUGUCCCAAUGUUUGUUGACGAUCUUAAGGAGUUCUUUAGCACCUAUUCAAGCCCUGAUUUUAGUGGUUUUAGUGUUGGGAUUCCAUACAAGGAAGAAGUUCUAAGGUUUUGCGAUGAAGUCCAUCCGCUUGCUCAGUCUAUAGGAGCUGUUAAUACUAUCAUAAGGAGAGCAGGAGAUGGGAAGCUUGUUGGUUAUAAUACAGAUUGUGAGGCUGCAAUUACUGCAAUUGAGGAUGCACUCGUUGAGCGUGGUUGCAAUGAUGGUGGAGCAUCUUUAGGUUCACCCCUUGCUGGUCGAUUGUUUGUGCUAGUUGGUGCAGGAGGUGCAGGGAAAGCACUUGCAUUUGGUGCUAAAAGCAGAGGAGCUCGUCUAGUAAUAUUUGACAUUGAUUUUGAGCAAAAUCUCUUGCCUGUGCUGUAUCUGGUGAGGCUCAGCCUUACAAAGAGUUGGUCAACUUUCAGCCAGAGAAAGGGGCAAUUCUUGCAAAUGCAACACCCAUAGGAAUGCAUCCAAACACUGACAGAAUUCCAGUGGCAGAGGCAACUUUGGAACAUUAUUGGUUAGUCUUUGAUGCUGUAUAUACUCCAAGAAGAACAAGAUUAUUGAAGGAAGCAGAUGCUGCAGGAGCAACAACUGUGGGUGGAGUAGAAAUGUUCCUAAGGCAGGCUAUUGGUCAGUGUAAUCUUUUCACCGGCUUAGAAGCUCCUAAAGAAUUGAUGCGAGAAAUUGUUUUAUCCAAGUUUUGAAGAUGUUGUUUCAAUAAAUUGCUCCUAUGACUUGGUGGAGGCUUCUCAUUUCCUUAAGAACCAGAAUGUGUAAUGUGCCCUGCUAGCGACGGAUCAUGACAAAUAAUUUUAGAAGUGAAAAUAAUUUAUUCAAAAUUUAUAGUUUUGAAGUUGUAUUUAAUAUAAUUCCAAUUUAAAUAAACUAU
Molecule: RNA transcript, 1927 nt
Organism: Vigna unguiculata (cowpea)
Lineage: Eukaryota; Viridiplantae; Streptophyta; Magnoliopsida; Fabales; Fabaceae
Gene name: bifunctional 3-dehydroquinate dehydratase/shikimate dehydrogenase, chloroplastic-like
Source: RefSeq, a predicted model, not a curated record